RNAcentral lists this ribosomal RNA (1385 nucleotides) under metagenome. RNAcentral describes it as "bacterial LSU rRNA". It matches the Rfam family "Archaeal large subunit ribosomal RNA", at positions 1552 to 2973 of the family's 2987-position model. The record is from RNAcentral.
CAAUCCUGACGCUUUCGGAUAGGCAUUGCGGAGCCGUCGCUCCGUCUAAGCUGGAUAUGAAAUUGGAGUACCGUAAUGGUGAGAAUUUUUCUAAACGGUGAUGGGGUAACAAUGCUGAUUCCAGGAGCCCGUGAAAAGGGUGAUGUAGUCCGUACCGAGAACUGACACAGGUGCCCCUCGCUGAGAAGGCGAAGGCGUGUCGGGAGUAAUCGUGUUAAGGGAACUCGGCAAAUUAGCCCUGUAACUUUGGGAUAAGGGGUGCCUGCCCAGCGAUUGGGCAGGUCGCAGUGACAAGAUCGCUCCGACUGUCUAAUAACAACAUAGCAGACUGCAACUCCGAAAGGACUCGUAUAGUCUGUGAUUCCUGCCCAGUGCGAGUAUCUGAACACCGGGUUCAACCGGACGAAGGACUCGUAAACGGCGGGGGUAACUAUGACCCUCUUAAGGUAGCGUAGUACCUUGUCGCUUAAUUGGCGACUUGCAUGAAUGGAAUAACGAGAGCGAUACUGUCCCUAACACGAACCCGUUGAACCUUUUGUACUAGUGCAGAGACUAGUGACUCCUUAUGGGAAGUGAAGACCCCGUGGAGCUUUACUGCAGCCUGUCGUUGGGUUACGGUAUUACCUGCGCAGGGUAGAUGGGAGACGUCGAUCCAACCCUUGUGGGGGUUGGUUAGUCAACGAUGAGACACCAUCCUGGUUUUAUUGUAAUUCUAACUGAUUUAUCAGGACAUCGAUAGGUAGGCAGUUUGGGUGGGGCGCCACACCCUCGAAAAAAUAUCAAGGGUGCCCUAAGGUCAACUCAAGCGGGUCAGAAACCCGCUGAAGAGUGUCAAGAGCAAAAGUUGGCCUGACGCGAUUUCGCAUAGCAAGAAAUCGCGAGAGGAAACUCGGGUCUAACGAACCAAUACGCCCUGUUGACGAGGGCUAUUGACUACAGAAAAGCUACCCCGGGGAUAACAGAGUCGUCGCCGGCAAGAGCACAUAUCGACCCGGCGGCUUGCUACCUCGAUGUCGGUUCUUUCCAUCCUGGCUGUGCAGCAGCAGCCAAGGGUGAGGUUGUUCGCCUAUUAAAGGGGAUCGUGAGCUGGGUUUAGACCGUCGUGAGACAGGUCGGUUACUAUCUAUAAGGAGUGUCGGAAGUCUGAAGGCAAGAGUGAAAUAGUACGAGAGGAACUUUCACUCGGCGCCUCUGGUCGAUCGGUUGUCUGACAAGGCAUGGCCGAGCAGCUACGCGCCAAGAGAUAAAAGCUGAAAGCAUCUAAGCUUGAAACUCAGCCUGAACAAGAGACUUCAUUAAAGACCCGGGUAAAAGACCCGGUUGAUAGGUUCGGGAUGUAAGCACGAAGGCAACGACGUGUUCAGUCCGCGAAUACUAAUAGUCCC